Molecule: long non-coding RNA, 1851 nt
Organism: Dermochelys coriacea (leatherback sea turtle)
Lineage: Eukaryota; Metazoa; Chordata; Testudines; Dermochelyidae
Exons: 4
Source: RefSeq, a predicted model, not a curated record
CUCCCUCUGAUGGGGAGGGCUGUGACAGAGAAUCUCCUUCAGAAACUACUCCAGCUUGCAGCUAGUUUGGGGUUUUCCAGACUGCCGCUGCCUCCCCCCUUCCCCCCCUUGCUGGUGGGUGGGAACAGUCUUCUCAUUGCCAGCCUUGGCUGAUCCCUGAUCAGCACCCUACAGUUCCCGGGGAGUAGGAGUCGCAUCACCAGAUGAGCACUGCCUGGAUGAGAACAAAAGAAAACAGCUGCGGGACCUCGGGAGCAGAUCCUGUCCUGGAACUUGGUCGGCAAAGCUACUGAAACCCUGUGUUAAAUGAACUUGCUUUGUUCUUUCAUCACAAUGCAUCCAGUAUUGUGAAUCGUGCGGGGAACUCCAUUUAAGGUGUUGUAGCUCGAUGCCCUCGCAGAGGCAAUGGACCGAAUAUAUUUGGACAGUGUGGAACAGACAUUUCUGCGGGGAAAUCCGGGACCGGGAGUGCGUUGGGGUCACCGCGCAUGUAGUAAUCGAUGCUGCCGGAAGCCAGAGCGUGGCUGGUGUUUGCUAACAGGCCACUGGGGGUCAGAAUUGCUGGAUCGGGGCUGUGGCGAUACACAGACGCUCAGGGUGUGACUUGCAAGCCAUAUGGCUGUUUGGCCCAGCUCGGGAGCCACAGCAGCAAGGCAGCCCACGUUGCAGAGGCGGUCGUGACACAGCUGCUCACCGAUCCGGCUCGCACCCCAAAAUGUCUCAAGACACCAGUUUCCGGGAAGCCGUCUCACGUGCCAUUGUAUUUCACGUUAGCAGCAUUUGUAGGAUGAUUUUACAAGUUAUAAAACUCUUCACAUGUCACGAAAAUCCAGUCCAUCAAUUUGUCCCAGUUCUUGUGCUUGUUGUAAACCUUUCAUUCUCCUUGUUUUGGAUACUAGCAUUCCAGGUUCUGGCCCCAGAAGGAACUUCUGUAACUUGUCCCGGGGAAAAAUACAAACAUAUUUGGGUUUUUGACAAGUGACCUAUCUGCCUAUGUAUGUCACAGGCCAGGCAGUACUAUCGCGGCAUGUUGCAGAAUAUGAGAACAUAGCUUACCUUGGCGCUCAGACCGGCCUGCGUUCUGCUUACAACGCAGAGCCAUCCCAGGGCUGGUGCAAUCCACCUCCUGAGACCAGGGGGCUAUUUGUUUGAUGGGUUAAUAAAGGGCUCGGUGACUAGUCACCAAUCCCCGGGUUGACUCACUGCUGUCGCUUUGGUGUCUGUGACACAAGGGGGUGAAGAGGGGAGUUAAAAAAAUCUCCUGAGUCUGCUAUAAACAUUCUGGUUCUCCCAAAGAAUUUCAGGUGAAAGUGCUGCUCAUUAAUAUUGUUGUGAAAUGGUGCACAUGUAAGGAGUUAGCUCUGCAAAGUGUAUCUCUCUGUUGAGAUGCAACUGUAGCAUUGUAAAAUAGCAGAAUGCAUGCCUGUUUACAUACAAAGAGAUGUGAAGUCAAAAGAAAAGGAGCACAGAGUUGAAAACAAGCCCCAGGGGAUUAUCCUGCCUCAGAGUAAAGAGACAUCCUUUCACCCUGCACCUGGGAAGCGAAGGGACAGCAUGGAUCGUAGGCAACCUUGGUUGAAAAAGCUGCCAGAGGACUUUGGGUGAGAGAAAGGUCUUCAGCCAGGAGGUUAACCUGCUAGUUUAGAAAGUGUGCUGGGAUUGCGGUUGUUUAGGUCAUGACUUGUUUCCAAACAGGAUAAUAAAUGUAUUCUUCUAAUCUCGGUGCCUGUGGUUAAGCCAAGUGCGGGUCCUGAGUUAAAUCUUUCUUACAAAGCGGUAUGUCCUGUUUAUUUGGGAAAGCGUUCAGUGGCGGGCAGUGCAGUGGGUGUGCGAACCUAGGUUUUCCCAGCG